RNAcentral lists this ribosomal RNA (253 nucleotides) under uncultured bacterium. RNAcentral's name for it is "partial 16S ribosomal RNA". It matches the Rfam family "Bacterial small subunit ribosomal RNA", at positions 524 to 776 of the family's 1533-position model. The record is from RNAcentral.
UACGUAGGGUGCAAGCGUUAAUCGGAACUACUGGGCGUAAAGAGCUCGUAGGCGGUUUGUCGCGUCUGCCGUGAAAGUCCGGGGCUUAACCCCGGAUCUGCGGUGGGUACGGGCAGACUAGAGUGCAGUAGGGGAGACUGGAAUUCCUGGUGUAGCGGUGAAAUGCGCAGAUAUCAGGAGGAACACCGAUGGCGAAGGCAGGUCUCUGGGCUGUAACUGACGCUGAGGAGCGAAAGCAUGGGGAGCGAACAGG